UCCGGGGCGACCCUGCCUUCGGGCGGGGGCUCCGGGUGGACACUUCAAACUCUUGCGUAACUUUGCAGUCUGAGUAAACUUAAUUAAUAAAUUAAAACUUUUAACAACGGAUCUCUUGGUUCUGGCAUCGAUGAAGAACGCAGCGAAAUGCGAUAAGUAAUGUGAAUUGCAGAAUUCAGUGAAUCAUCGAAUCUUUGAACGCACAUUGCGCCCCCUGGUAUUCCGGGGGGCAUGCCUGUUCGAGCGUCAUUUCACCACUCAAGCCUCGCUUGGUAUUGGGCAACGCGGUCCGCCGCGUGCCUCAAAUCGACCGGCUGGGUCUUCUGUCCCCUAAGCGUUGUGGAAACUAUUCGCUAAAGGGUGUUCGGGAGGCUACGCCGUAAAACAACCCCAUUUCUAAGGUUGACCUCGGAUCAGGUAGGGAUACCCGCUGAACUUAAGCAUAUCAAUAAGC
Molecule: ribosomal RNA, 454 nt
Filed under: Cladosporium sp.
Lineage: Eukaryota; Fungi; Ascomycota; Dothideomycetes; Cladosporiales; Cladosporiaceae
Description: eukaryotic LSU rRNA
Rfam family: 5.8S ribosomal RNA (bases 96-249)
Source: RNAcentral